This 508-nucleotide long non-coding RNA is filed under the name Ictidomys tridecemlineatus (thirteen-lined ground squirrel). RNAcentral's name for it is "lncRNA (ENSSTOG00000029813.1)". The record is from RNAcentral. Lineage: Eukaryota; Metazoa; Chordata; Mammalia; Rodentia; Sciuridae.
ACUACAAUUACACUUUUCAUACCCAACAGGACUUGAGAUUUAUACCUGGAGUACAAUGUUCCUGGCAUGUGUGAAAAGUUCACGGACACAUUCUAAUCAUUGCUUCAUAUCCUCCUAGGUUACCCCUGCCCAGCCACAGUCUUGGUGAGCAGUUCUGAGUGAGCUUUCAACUUUAUGCUGCCAAGUUCUUGUCUCAAGCUUAAGCUGCACAUCUUUUGCCUUCUGCCCUGCGGCUUCUCUGAAGUCACAGUGUGGACACCCAGGGAGACACUUUGCAUUCCCAUGCCAACAGAAGAAUUAAUACCAAAGGUUUCAUCUAAAAUAUCAUUGACAGUCCAGCAGUUAAGAAAGCACACUUCUGAGUCAGAAAACCCUUGAUUCAAGUCUCAAUCUGCAAUUUACUAACAAGGAGCUCCUAGAUCCAUUAACUAGUAGGAGUAUACAUCAAUAUUUAACUUGUAAGGCUGGGAUAAUAACAAUGUAUAGCACAAAGUGUUAAGAUUAAAUG